AACGCUGGCGGCGUGCCAAUACAUGCAAGUCAACGGCUUUCUAUGAAGCUUGCUUCACUGAGAAGAUAGUGGCGAACGGGUGAGUAACACGUGGGGUAACCUGCCCAUAAGAGGGGGGAUAACAUCCGGAAACGGGUGCUAAUACCGCAUAGUUUUCUUGAUCGCAUGAUCGGGAAAGGAAAGACGGCCUUUGUGCUGUCGCUUAUGGAUGGACCCGCGGCGUAUUAGUUAGUUGGUGAGGUAACGGCUCACCAAGACGAUGAUACGUAGCCGACCUGAGAGGGUGAUCGGCCACAUUGGGACUGAGACACGGCCCAAACUCCUACGGGAGGCAGCAGUAGGGAAUCUUCCGCAAUGGACGAAAGUCUGACGGAGCAACGCCGCGUGAGUGAAGAAAGGUUUUCGGAUCGUAAAACUCUGUUGUCAGAGAAGAACAAGUUGGAGAGUAACUGCUCCAGCCUUGACGGUAUCUGACCAGAAAGCCACGGCUAACUACGUGCCAGCCGCUGC
This 510-nucleotide ribosomal RNA is filed under the name uncultured bacterium. Its description in RNAcentral is "bacterial SSU rRNA". It matches the Rfam family "Bacterial small subunit ribosomal RNA", at positions 32 to 518 of the family's 1533-position model. The record is from RNAcentral.